AACGAACGCUGGCGGCAUGCCUAACACAUGCAAGUCGAACGAGACCUUCGGGUCUAGUGGCGCACGGGUGCGUAACGCGUGGGAACCUGCCCUUAGGUUCGGAAUACCUCCCCGAAAGGGGUGCUAAUACCGGAUAAUGUCUUCGGACCAAAGAUUUAUCGCCUUUGGAUGGGCCCGCGUUGGAUUAGCUAGUUGGUAGGGUAAAAGCCUACCAAGGCGACGAUCCAUAGCUGGUCUGAGAGGAUGAUCAGCCACACUGGGACUGAGACACGGCCCAGACUCCUACGGGAGGCAGCAGUGGGGAAUAUUGGACAAGGGGCGAAAGCCUGAUCCAGCAAUGCCGCGUGAGUGAUGAAGGCGUUAGGGUUGUAAAGCUCUUUUACCCGGGAUGAUAAUGACAGUACCGGGAGAAUAAGCUCCGGCUAACUCCGUG
This 433-nucleotide ribosomal RNA is filed under the name uncultured bacterium. RNAcentral describes it as "partial 16S ribosomal RNA". It matches the Rfam family "Bacterial small subunit ribosomal RNA", at positions 29 to 507 of the family's 1533-position model. The record is from RNAcentral.